UGGGGAAUAUUGGACAAUGGGCGAAAGCCUGAUCCAGCAAUGCCGCGUGAGUGAUGAAGGCCUUAGGGUUGUAAAGCUCUUUUACCCGGGAUGAUAAUGACAGUACCGGGAGAAUAAGCCCCGGCUAACUCCGUGCCAGCAGCCGCGGUAAUACGGAGGGGGCUAGCGUUGUUCGGAAUUACUGGGCGUAAAGCGCACGUAGGCGGCUUUGUAAGUUAGAGGUGAAAGCCCAGGGCUUAACCCUGGAAUUGCCUUUAAGACUGCAUCGCUAGAAUUGUGGAGAGGUAAGUGGAAUUCCGAGUGUAGAGGUGAAAUUCGUAGAUAUUCGGAAGAACACCAGUGGCGAAGGCGACUUACUGGACACAUAUUGACGCUGAGGUGCGAAAGCGUGGGGAGCAAACA
Molecule: ribosomal RNA, 402 nt
Filed under: uncultured Sphingomonas sp.
Lineage: Bacteria; Pseudomonadati; Pseudomonadota; Alphaproteobacteria; Sphingomonadales; Sphingomonadaceae
Description: bacterial SSU rRNA
Rfam family: Bacterial small subunit ribosomal RNA
Source: RNAcentral